This 253-nucleotide ribosomal RNA is filed under the name uncultured bacterium. RNAcentral's name for it is "partial 16S ribosomal RNA". It matches the Rfam family "Bacterial small subunit ribosomal RNA", at positions 524 to 776 of the family's 1533-position model. The record is from RNAcentral.
UACAGAGGCCUCAAGCGUUGUUCGGAUUCAUUGGGCGUAAAGGGUGCGUAGGUGGCGGGGUAAGUCUGGUGUGAAAUCCCGGGGCUCAACCCCGGAACUGCACUGGAUACUGCUUUGCUAGAGUACUGGAGAGGGAACUGGAAUUUACGGUGUAGCAGUGAAAUGCGUAGAUAUCGUAAGGAAGACCAGUGGCGAAGGCGAGUUCCUGGACAGUUACUGACACUGAGGCACGAAGGCCAGGGGAGCAAACGGG